GAAAAGAAAAUGAGUGGCCCUGGAAGUAGGCAAAGCAGAAAGAGUUUCAAAAGAGGAAUGAUCAAUAGGAUCACAUAUAACAGGGAAGUCUAGAGACUGAGAAGUGAAUGUUGGAUUUGGAUAUUAGACUACUGGUGACAUUAGCAAGAGAAAUUUUAGUGGAGCUAUGCGGGCCGAGGUCAGGCUGCCAUUGGUCCAGAAUAGUGAAUUGUAAUGAAGAAGUAGAAAUUGAGCAUUGAUGACAUUCAUGACUCUUCCAAGAGCCUAGACACAAGGUGGUAAAGGUGGACAGAAUUGAGGAAGACUUUUGUUUAAGAUAGAAUAGGCUUUGGCAUGUUUAUAUGCUGAGGGAUUAAAGAUCAAAGAGGGCAAGGCUCAAUACAUAGGGAAGAAUAGUGGAUGACAGGAGACUGGGAACACAGAAGCCUGGGAGCUCUUGGAAAGAGGGGUAACACUUCCUCUGAACUAGAAGGAAGGUUAGGUACACACAUAUACGGGUAAGGGGAAAUAGCAGUGGGAGCUUGAAUAAAGAUGUCUGAUAUUAUAAACUUAUGAAGCAAUAACAGUUAUUUGUUUGUGGGGAAGAAAGAGUUGUCUAGGAGAGAGUCAAGAAUAGUGGAAUAGCCAUUGUGGGUUGUGGACUAGCCAUUGAAGGUUUUGGAAAUGAGGCUGCUCUUGAGGUGGUUGACCACAAAUAUCUAAAAGCUUUUAUAUUGUGGUUUUAUUGUUUUCUCUGAUCUAACCCACAGACACAGUUAAAGGGCAGAGAUGUGUGAUAACAGUCCAGGUUCCAGGUUGGAGGUUUGUCAAACAGGUGUGGCUAAAGGACUAGUGGUUAAGGGAGUUAAUGGUCCUGGUGAGAACAGUGGGGAUGAUGCACCUUAAGUCUGCAAAGGCUAGGGAAGGAAUUACGAAGUGUGGUGGGAGUGCUGUCUAUCAGAGGAGGUUGUGGGGGCAGGCAUGGUAAUCUUGCACAAAUACAAGGAAUAAAGUAGUAAGGUUAGAGAAAGUUCUGAAAAAGGAAAAUGAGAAUUUAGGAUCACAAAAUUCUCUAUUGUGAAAUAGCCUGAUGUGUAACCCUAGAAGCAAAUGUUCAAAACUGAGUAGAUGUAAAAAGCUGUAAGCAAUUAUGGCAAGGGUAUUUGGUGGGCUUUACUCUAGAACACUGAAAUCAUCCAGGAUGAUGGUGGGACAUGAGGUAGAAGGAAACAGAGAGAUUGGUACCCAAGACUGGGGAAUCUGGGACAUUAACUAUAACCAUGGCCACAAAUGAUAAAAGUUAAAAUAGUUGGAUCCAUACAUUUUGGUAAUAAGGGAUUUUUGUAUAGGAUGGGAAGAAGCAAUGGUGCAGAAGCAGAAGUGAGGACCUGGGAGAACAUCCUCUGACCGUUUGUACAAGUCUGCAUAAUAUGGGCACAUGAGCACAUGUUCAGCCUUUUGUGGAGGGAAGGAAGUGUUCUCACGCGAGUUUUCUUGAAGUCCAGGAAAUGGCAACAAUAUUCAGUGAAGAGACUGGGACUGCAGGGGAGUUUAUAAGGAGAAAGUGACUCCAGAGAACAUGGGAAAGACUGGAAGUGAGGGGAACUGUGUAUUGGACUGGGGUUGGGGGAAGUUCAGGAGAAAAACCAAAGAGUGUGCAGAUCGGGGAGUAUAUAGGAGAAAAAGGCAUUUAGGGCAGUAGUGAAGGAUAGUAGGAGCAGGCCUGAGUAGUGCAAGGUUCUAAAUAGAAAGUUGUUGCCAAAAUGGUAGUGUUUUCAUCCCCUUGGCAAUGAAAGGGGAAAUAUCACUACAAAUGUUUCACUGCAAAUAUCACUAGGUUGUGAACCUAGGUUGUAUCAUUGUUCACCUCCCCCUCCCCACCUUUUUGGUCAUAUAUCUAACAGGAUAUAUGCCAGGACAACAAAUGUUUGCCUUUCCCCCUAGAGCAUCAUUAACAUAAUUACUCAAAUAAGAGUCCCCUUUGAUUAAGUAAUAGAAAAGUUGAGUUCACAUCUGUGCAGGUGGACCCAUGUGCCUCCAUAAGCUGUGGAGUUUUGAGAAGCAAUGAGCUUUUAUUCUUCUCAUUUUUCAUUAUGAUAUCCUGGACUUACGCUGGGUUUCCUGAGUGACAUGACUAUGUGUUUGCAACAGUAAAAGGGUGAAGUUGCAGACAUCUGGCAAUUAUUAGUAUGUAAAAUAACAAAAACAAGAAAAAUGUACUGAAGCAAAUCAUCACGCACUUUUUCUGUGAGAUCAAACAUUGUAGUAACAAAAAAUGACAUCAAACAGAACAAACUAAAACAAUGAGCCUGGUGCAUAUAAUCUACUUUUCUGAUUAUUGAUUUUGGUGACCCCAUGUACUCCUCUAGCUCAUAGUUCUGUCAUAAGCAUUAUAUUUUAUAUCAUUUAUUAGAGUAUUUUUAAAGCAUAACAAUCUGUUUUAAUUACACUUAAGUCUCUGGAUAGUUUUAAUAUUUGUAUUUUUAAUCAAUAGAAAUACAUCUUGAUUAUGUCUUUGGAAAUGUAUUUGUAGAGCUUAAAAUACAGCUGAAAUCAUGUGGCUUUCCAAUAGACUCCUUUGAAAAAGUGCUUUACUUUGCAGAAUUAUAAGCCAGAAAGUACUAUGGCAUUAAGUUAUUGCAAAGCAUUGUGAUUUAUCCAGUAAAACACAUGGCUACAGACCUUGUAAGCUUCUUAUAUUUAGCUACAUCCCCCUUACCCUCAGAGAAAAGUAAUCUCUGCAUUAUUAAUGUACCUCAAGAUUACUAAAUGAUCUACACAGUAGCCAGCCAAUAUGUGGUGGCCCCCAAUUUUAUGCUAUCUGUACUGGCACUGAUUUCAAGCAAUCACCCUUCCACCAUUGCCCCCUCCUCUCCAUGCUUGGAAAGAUGCUUGCUCCCUCUUCUGGCCUUGUUUUGCUAGGAAAGGUUUUGGUAAUAGAGCACACAUUCUUUGUCAUGCCACAUUUUGAGCUGACCUUCCUGCUGGACAUGCCUAAAAUCAUACUCUUAGCAACACUUAACCCCAAUUCAUGUGGUCAUCAGAUUCGACUGGCCAUGGUAGAAUGUGGCCCAAAUAAAUCCUGAUGGGACUGGACUUGCUGUGAACUUCUCCCACUCUAAUACUGGACAAAAUAAUUGUAUGCUCCCCAGUAUCUCUUCAUGCAGGAAUGGAAGGCCUGUGUAGACAAGUGACUGACCCAUCCCAUUUUAGCCAAAUGUGGUUAUCAUAUGCCAAACACUGACAAGAACAAUUUAUCUUGAACAGUUUAUCUUGGGGGCCUACUGCUUCAUCAUUAACUAGGAGUUAACCUGCUUUGUGAUGACAGAAGUCUCUAAAAUCCCCUUUUCAAGCACUAUGGAAUACUGAUCUUACCUGGCUCAUUUGCAGAGAUCUCACACUUCACCAAACCAAUUAUGACCACAUGAAACCUCCGAACUACUUAUUCUAACCUAGUUGCCACUUUCCAGUUUUCUAAAUCAAGCAAAGUUCUCAAACACCCGAGCGUCUCACUGGGAUGUUCUAUUGGAUUUGCAAUUGUGUUCAAUUUGAUUAUUUGAAGUCAGUAGGUCACUUGAAUACCAUCAACUAUCCUAUUAAAAGAUGCUGGUUGCCACACUUUUUUCCCCUUCUGCUUUCGUUUGGCAGCUUAAUGGUUCUCAGCCUUGCUCCUGGUUGUUUAUGGGGGGAUUUUAUUUGCUGCCAUCCCUCCCCCUUUUUCACUAGACUCUUGAAUGAUUUGGGAGUGCUAAGGUACCCAGUGCACUAUUACUAAGCUCCUGAUAAAUAUUUGCUGAGGAUGAUGAUAUUUACAUUUUUAAUGUCUUCAGAGUUUAGAAUUUUGACUUGGACAAUAUUUUGAAUUUUAGGGUUUAGAUUAGGUUAGGUGUCUUAAUGGGGUUCUUGUUCAGAUUUCUUCAUAUUCCAAGUGUAGUAGAAAAUAGAGGUUACUAUUUUCUUAAGCAACCACUAAUGCUGAAAGAAAACAUCAGUACAUGCAUGCGUUUCACUUCAAAUUCAUCAUUUAACAUCAGCCACCCCCAUUUUGAGGACUGAUAGCUGAUUUGAAGGAGCCCUCUGAGAAUUUGAUUCCAUAGUCCUUUCUAGGGCACCAGGUAAAUCCUCCUAAGAACAGCAGCUCCUGUUCUCUCCCUCUCCUGAAUGGAAGCAGACUAUCUGAUUCCCAUCCAGCCAUUCUCAGGGAGUUCAUUUUUCAGAGACUCAAAUGAGUGGUGAAAUAGGUAAUCCCAGAGCAUUUGGGGGAACAAUUUUUGGGGGGGAAUAUGAGUUUUCUUUCUUUAGAAUGGAAUUUCAUCAGUGCCAGGCUAGCCCAGACCACAGGAAGUUUACGAAUGCCUUUGUGAUGGCUGGCAGGCUGGGUGAGAGUCAAAGUGGAGGUCCGCACUUGAGCAGCAGGACACUGGCUGAGAAGGUGAGUCAGCUUCUAAGGCCUUUUGGACUUGACUAGCAAGGAAAGCUGAGAGUAGGGACUAUCUCAGCUGUCAAUGUGUCUCAUGAUGACAUCCACAGAAUUGUGUUCCUGAAGGUGAUGCUAUAAAUGUCAGAGUCUAAAAGAUCUUGCAACCAUUUUAUAAAUCCAUACAGGCACCUUAACCCUUAGAACUGAAGUCACUUGUUAAUAUGUAAAUGGUGGCUUCUCAGUCUAUCCCCAAAUAAAAAUAUAUCUUAUAAAUGUUACCAAACAUUUAAAAUAAUCAUAAAAUAGUUUACAUACUUCAUUAUUUGGCUCAGAGUUCUGAUGGUGAAGCAAAGUGCAGCUCUUUCCCUCCCUCUCAUUCUAACUGGAACAUGGUCCUUAUCAAAGCGCCGACACCGCAGGAGCACUGAGGCUGACAUAAAACCUGUCUGACACAUUUUCUGAUAAGGCAGGAAUGUACUUUUCAGAUCUCUUGAACAUGGCCUUUCUCAUCUGUCACCACUAUAUUUCUUCACUUUACUGGCCUAGGGGAAAAAUACUAUAUUCUAGGACUUUUCUUACAGGUUCAUAUCUCAUUGGCUGUUGGUUCAAUGUCUUGCUCACCCAAUGAGAAGGCCAAAACGCUGAUGAAAGGCCUUGCUCACUCAGUGCUCUCAGAAGGCAGAACUCAUCAGCUGACUUGCCAGUCACCCUCGCCACAGACACUGGCUUAAAAGGGCAUCAGCUCCCAAUUUCUCACUGGAGGAGGUGACUUCAUCCCAGCCCCCACUAAGCCCAGAACCAGCCUUGGUUGUGAUGCGUACCCAGAGGUACUACCAGCCCUUAGAGAAAUUUCUGCAAUGACUGAGCUUCUGGACAGAAUUCGGCCAGGCUUGAACCCGAGAAGAGAUGCCCCAUGAAGUCCUUUUUUGGGCAGCACCAAAAAUCUGCCAGCAGAAGUCUCAGCUCCCAGCGGUUUCUCUUCUUCUGGCCAGCCUCCGCUCUCUGAUCCAUGAAAAGAAAACUCUUCCAGGCUGGAAAGAGACUGCAGCUCCUUUGGGGGUGUUCUGCACGGCGUGC
Molecule: long non-coding RNA, 5476 nt
Organism: Symphalangus syndactylus (siamang)
Lineage: Eukaryota; Metazoa; Chordata; Mammalia; Primates; Hylobatidae
Source: RefSeq, a predicted model, not a curated record